This is a long non-coding RNA of Felis catus (domestic cat), 616 nucleotides long. RefSeq lists it as uncharacterized. The transcript is spliced from 2 exons. The record is from RefSeq and is a predicted model, not a curated record. NCBI's taxonomy places the organism in Eukaryota, Metazoa, Chordata, Mammalia, Carnivora, Felidae.
GGCUCUGAGUUUCUCAUCUGUAAAGUGGGGACAGAUGUAAAGAGGUGGGGCUCCUGGUGGAGGUGGGGGUCCUGGUGUUUUAACUCUGAAAGCCACAAAAAUCUAUCUGCAUCAAACCUGUUGGAUUUAGUGGUUGAGUCUCAAUUAUCCAUAGGAAACUCUUCUCAACUGUCUUUGGAACUUUUGAAUAAGAUCUUUAUAAACAUUUGCAGAUUGCACACCUAUCAUGAAGCUGGAGAGCCCUUCCACACACCCAGAGUCACAGCCACAGUGGAGAAGGACUUUAAUGCAGAUGCGGAGACAGACAUUAUUUGCUGUGUUUCUGGUAUCUGUCCUGAGACCAAGCAUUAUGUACAUUUAUGGUCUGGAUGGGGGACUGGUCAUGAACUUGCUUUCAGCCCACUCAGAAAGAUGAAAGGCUGAAGUUUACUUUUGAGUCACUAUCCUUGACUUUAAGUACUUUUAGGACGUAAAACAAAUAGAGAAUGACCCAAAGCAUUGUGAGCUCUUAGAAUGCACAGAUUCACUGGUGCUGUGCAAAGGUUUCCUCCUGGUUGAAGCUGGAUGUCACUUUCCUGCUACUUUAAUAAAGAGCCACAAGACUGCUAGUAGAAAA